Molecule: non-coding RNA, 115 nt
Organism: Triticum aestivum (bread wheat)
Lineage: Eukaryota; Viridiplantae; Streptophyta; Magnoliopsida; Poales; Poaceae
Source: Rfam
CAAGUACUCCCUCCGUCAGGAAUUACUUGUCAUCAAAAUGGAUGUGUCUAGAACUAAAAUACAUCUAGAUACAUCCAUUUCAAUGACAAGUAUUUCCGGACGGAGGGAGUACAAG